GAUGAACGCUGGCGGCGUGCUUAACACAUGCAAGUCGAACGGAAAGGCCCAAGCUUGCUUGGGUACUCGAGUGGCGAACGGGUGAGUAACACGUGGGUGAUCUGCCCUGCACUUCGGGAUAAGCCUGGGAAACUGGGUCUAAUACCGGAUAGGACCACUUCUUGGAUGUUGUGGUGGAAAGUUUUUUCGGUGUGUGAUGAGCUCGCGGCCUAUCAGCUUGUUGGUGGGGUAAUGGCCUACCAAGGCGUCGACGGGUAGCCGGCCUGAGAGGGUGUACGGCCACAUUGGGACUGAGAUACGGCCCAGACUCCUACGGGAGGCAGCAGUGGGGAAUAUUGCACAAUGGGCGCAAGCCUGAUGCAGCGACGCCGCGUGGGGGAUGACGGCCUUCGGGCUGUAAACUCCUUUCGCUAGGGACGAAGCGUUUUGUGACGGUACCUGGAGAAGAAGCACCGGCUAACUACGUG
RNAcentral lists this ribosomal RNA (467 nucleotides) under uncultured bacterium. Its description in RNAcentral is "partial 16S ribosomal RNA". It matches the Rfam family "Bacterial small subunit ribosomal RNA", at positions 28 to 507 of the family's 1533-position model. The record is from RNAcentral.